This 215-nucleotide ribosomal RNA is filed under the name uncultured bacterium. Its description in RNAcentral is "partial 16S ribosomal RNA". It matches the Rfam family "Bacterial small subunit ribosomal RNA", at positions 1286 to 1500 of the family's 1533-position model. The record is from RNAcentral.
UCCCAGUUCGGAUUGCAGUCUGCAACUCGAGUGCAUGAAGCUGGAAUCGCUAGUAAUCGCGGAUCAGAAUGCCGCGGUGAAUACGUUCCCGGGUCUUGUACACACCGCCCGUCACACCAUGGGAGCCGACAACGCCCGAAGUCAGUGACCUAACCGAGAGGGAGGAGCUGCCGAAGGCGGGGUUGGUAACUGGGGUGAAGUCGUAACAAGGUAAC